This is a non-coding RNA of Pipistrellus kuhlii (Kuhl's pipistrelle), 540 nucleotides long. Lineage: Eukaryota; Metazoa; Chordata; Mammalia; Chiroptera; Vespertilionidae. The record is from the annotation of a RefSeq genome assembly.
UCCUCUGGCAGAGGGCAGGGGAGAAAAGGAGGCCUGGGCAGCCCAGCCCCACUGUGGGCUCAGGGCUGUGAGCACCAUGGCCUGGAUUCCUCUGCUCCUGGCGCUCCUCUCUCACUGCACAGGGUCCCUCUCCCAGCAGCUUGUUGUGACCCAGCCGCCCUCCCUCUCUGCCUCUCCGGGAGCCACAGUCACAAUCACCUGCACCCUGAGCAGCGGCUUCAAUAUUGGUGACUACGAUAUCCGCUGGUACCAGCAGAAGCCAGGGAGCCGUCCCCGGUAUUUCCUGAGAUAUAAGUCAGACUCAGAUAAGUACCAGGGCUCUGGGGUCCCCAGCCGCUUCUCUGGAUCCAAAGACGCCUCGGCCAAUGAGGGGCUCCUGACCAUCUCGGGGCUGCAGCCUGAGGAUGAGGCUGACUAUUACUGCAAUGCAGAUCUGGGCGAUGGGAACAGCAACCGUUACCCACAGUGUCUCAGAGGACGAGGAAGUGAGACAAAAACCCUGCUCCCGAGGCGGUGGCUCUGAGCCUCCUUCAGCGAGGA